This 253-nucleotide ribosomal RNA is filed under the name uncultured bacterium. Its description in RNAcentral is "partial 16S ribosomal RNA". It matches the Rfam family "Bacterial small subunit ribosomal RNA", at positions 524 to 776 of the family's 1533-position model. The record is from RNAcentral.
UACGGAGGGUGCAAGCGUUAAUCGGAAUUACUGGGCGUAAAGCGCACGCAGGUGGCUGAGUCAGUCGGAUGUGAAAGCCCUGGGCUUAACCUGGGAAUUGCAUUCGAUACUACUCGGCUAGAGUAUGGGAGAGGGAAGUGGAAUUCCCGGUGUAGCGGUGAAAUGCGCAGAUAUCGGGAGGAACACCUAUGGCGAAGGCAGCUCGCUGGGACGUUACUGACGCUGAGACGCGAAAGCGUGGGGAGCAAACAGG